This 460-nucleotide ribosomal RNA is filed under the name Tayloria subglabra. Its description in RNAcentral is "eukaryotic LSU rRNA". The stretch from base 1 to 115 matches the Rfam family "5.8S ribosomal RNA", at positions 39 to 154 of the family's 154-position model. Lineage: Eukaryota; Viridiplantae; Streptophyta; Bryopsida; Splachnales; Splachnaceae. The record is from RNAcentral.
AAGAACGCAGCGAAAUGCGAUACGUAGUGUGAAUUGCAGAAUUCCGCGAAUCAUCGAGUCUUUGAACGCAACUUGCGCCCGAGGCUCGUCCGAGGGCAUUCCCGUCAGAGCGUCACCGCGCCACCCACCGCUCCGCUCCAGGCGAGCCGGAGACGACGUGGAACUGGCCGUCCCGAACGGAUGGAAUUCGUCGGGUCGGCUGAAAUGGAUGGAAUCCUCGGCCCCGCGGCGACGCAGCCCGCGAUCAGGUGACCCGCGCCGCGACUAACCUCGCGGCCGCGGUUUCUCAAAAGCGCGCGGCUGCCGUCGCCCUGUCGGCCCCAGGGGAUCCGCACGUACGAAGCAGGUCUUCCUCAACCCCCUCCCCUCCGGGAGGGGGGUUCAGGGAAAUAAAAUACGGUCACGCAACGGACCUCUGAUCGGGAAAGAUCACCCGCUGAGUUUAAGCAUAUCAAUAAGC